GUCCAGACUCCUACGGGAGGCAGCAGUGGGGAAUAUUGGGCAAUGGAGGCAACUCCGACCCAGCAACGCCGCGUGAAUGAUGAAGGUCUUCGGAUUGUAAAGUUCUUUUCUAAGGGAAGAAGAGAGUGACGGUACCUUAGGAAUAAGCCUCGGCUAACUACGUGCCAGCAGCCGCGGUAAUACGUAGGAGGCAAGCGUUAUCCGGAAUGACUGGGCGUAAAGGGUGCGUAGGUGGUUCAGCAAGUUAGUAGCGUAACUCCGGGGCUCAACCUCGGCACUACUACUAAAACUGUUGGACUUGAGUGCAGGAGGGGCAACUGGAAUUCCUAGUGUAGCGGUGGAAUGCGUAGAUAUUAGGAGGAACACCAGUGGCGAAGGCGGCUUACUGGACUGUAACUGACGUUGAGGCUCGAAAGCGUGGGGAGCAAACAGGAUUAGAUACCCCCGUA
This 449-nucleotide ribosomal RNA is filed under the name uncultured bacterium. RNAcentral's name for it is "bacterial SSU rRNA". It matches the Rfam family "Bacterial small subunit ribosomal RNA", at positions 329 to 792 of the family's 1533-position model. The record is from RNAcentral.